Molecule: ribosomal RNA, 497 nt
Filed under: uncultured bacterium
Lineage: Bacteria
Description: partial 16S ribosomal RNA
Rfam family: Bacterial small subunit ribosomal RNA
Source: RNAcentral
GACGAACGCUGGCGGCGUGCCUAAUACAUGCAAGUAGAACGCUGAAGAGAGGAGCUUACUCUUCUUGGAUGAGCUGCGAACGGGUGAGUAACGCGUAGGUAACCUGCCUUGUAGCGGGGGAUCACUAUUGGAAACGAUAGCUAAUACCGCAUAACCAUGGAUGACACAUGUCAUUUAUUUGAAAGGGGCAAUUGCUCCACUACAAGAUGGACCUGCGUUGUAUUAGCUAGUAGGUGAGGUAAUGGCUCACCUAGGCGACGAUACAUAGCCGACCUGAGAGGGUGAUCGGCCAGACUGGGACUGAGACACGGCCCAGACGCCUACGGGAGGCAGCAGUAGGGAUUCUUCAGCAAGGGGGGCAACCCUGACCGAGCAACGCCGCGUGAGUGAGGAAGGUUUUCGGAUCGUAAAGCUCUGUUGUAAGUCAAGAACGGGUGUGAGAGUUGAAAGUUCACACUGUGACGGUAGCUUACCAGAAAGGGACGGCUAACUACGUG